UACGGAGGAUCCGAGCGUUAUCCGGAUUUAUUGGGUUUAAAGGGAGCGUAGGUGGAUUGUUAAGUCAGUUGUGAAAGUUUGCGGCUCAACCGUAAAAUUGCAGUUGAAACUGGCAGUCUUGAGUACAGUAGAGGUGGGCGGAAUUCGUGGUGUAGCGGUGAAAUGCUUAGAUAUCACGAAGAACUCCGAUUGCGAAGGCAGCUCACUAGACUGCAACUGACACUGAUGCUCGAAAGCGUGGGGAGCAAACAGG
RNAcentral lists this ribosomal RNA (253 nucleotides) under uncultured bacterium. Its description in RNAcentral is "partial 16S ribosomal RNA". It matches the Rfam family "Bacterial small subunit ribosomal RNA", at positions 524 to 776 of the family's 1533-position model. The record is from RNAcentral.